Molecule: transfer RNA, 73 nt
Filed under: Ictidomys tridecemlineatus (thirteen-lined ground squirrel)
Lineage: Eukaryota; Metazoa; Chordata; Mammalia; Rodentia; Sciuridae
Description: Spermophilus tridecemlineatus (thirteen-lined ground squirrel) tRNA
Rfam family: tRNA
About the family: Transfer RNA (tRNA) molecules are approximately 80 nucleotides in length.
Source: Rfam by way of RNAcentral
GGGGAUAUAGCCCAGUUGGUAGAGUUCUUGUCUCACAUACAUGAGGACUGGGGUUCAAUCCCUAGCACCACCA